CAAUAGCGUAUAUUAAAGUUGUUGCGGUUAAAAAGCUCGUAGUUGGAUCUCGGCAGGCAGGGGGUGGUUCGCUCUUAGCGCUACUGCCCCAUUUGCCUGUGUGAUUGGCGGAGGUUUCGGGGUGCUCUUCGUUGAGUGACCCGGGGCGCCGUCAGGUUUACUUUGAAAAAAUUAGAGUGCUCAAAGCAGGCUUUUCACGCUUGAAUAUUCGUGCGUGGAAUAAUGGAAUAGGAACUCGUUUCUAUUUUGUUGGUUUUCGGAAAUCGAGUUAAUGAUUAAUAGGGACAAUUGGGGGCAUUAGUAUUCAGACGACAGAGGUGAAAUUCUUGGACCGUCUGAAGACUAACUACUGCGAAAGCAUUUGCCAAGAGUGUUUUCAUUAA
Molecule: ribosomal RNA, 383 nt
Filed under: uncultured eukaryote
Lineage: Eukaryota
Description: partial 18S ribosomal RNA
Rfam family: Eukaryotic small subunit ribosomal RNA
Source: RNAcentral